GAUGAACGCUGGCGGCGUGCUUAACACAUGCAAGUCGAACGAAGCAUUUGCGACAGAUUUUUUCGGAAUGAAGUUGCUUAUGACUGAGUGGCGGACGGGUGAGUAACGCGUGGGUAACCUGCCUUGUACUGGGGGAUAGCAGCUGGAAACGGCUGGUAAUACCGCAUAAGCGCACAAUGUUGCAUGACAUGGUGUGAAAAACUCCGGUGGUAUAAGAUGGACCCGCGUCUGAUUAGCUAGUUGGUGAGAUAACAGCCCACCAAGGCGACGAUCAGUAGCCGACCUGAGAGGGUGACCGGCCACAUUGGGACUGAGACACGGCCCAGACUCCUACGGGAGGCAGCAGUGGGGAAUAUUGCACAAUGGAGGAAACUCUGAUGCAGCGACGCCGCGUGAGUGAAAAAGUAAUUCGUUAUGUAAAGCUCUAUCAGCAGGGAAGAUAGUGACGGUACCUGACGAAGAAGCUCCGGCUAAAUACGUG
This 481-nucleotide ribosomal RNA is filed under the name uncultured bacterium. RNAcentral describes it as "partial 16S ribosomal RNA". It matches the Rfam family "Bacterial small subunit ribosomal RNA", at positions 28 to 507 of the family's 1533-position model. The record is from RNAcentral.